This 26-nucleotide unclassified non-coding RNA is filed under the name Dictyostelium discoideum. Lineage: Eukaryota; Evosea; Eumycetozoa; Dictyosteliales; Dictyosteliaceae. The record is from RNAcentral.
GCGUAUGUGGUCUAGUGGUAUGAUGC